RNAcentral lists this unclassified non-coding RNA (647 nucleotides) under uncultured Prochlorococcus sp. Its description in RNAcentral is "partial 16S-23S ribosomal RNA intergenic spacer; may also contain 16S ribosomal RNA and 23S ribosomal RNA". The stretch from base 305 to 377 matches the Rfam family "tRNA". Lineage: Bacteria; Bacillati; Cyanobacteriota; Cyanophyceae; Synechococcales; Prochlorococcaceae. The record is from RNAcentral.
UUGUGGAGGAGGACGCCGAAGGUGGGGCUAAUGACUGGGGUGAAGUCGUAACAAGGUAGCCGUACCGGAAGGUGCGGCUGGAUCACCUCCUAACAGGGAGACAACAAAAUGUUUAAUAUUAUUAUUUUGUCACCUUAGGUCGAUCGGUAUCUCACAUUCUUAACUUAUUAAGGAUUUCAAUUCCUAAGUUUUUCUAGGUCACACCCAUAAUUUUUCCUGGGCCAUUAGCUCAGGUGGUUAGAGCGCACCCCUGAUAAGGGUGAGGUCCCUGGUUCAAGUCCAGGAUGGCCCAUAUCUCUAUGUUGGGGGUAUAGCUCAGUUGGUAGAGCGCCUGCUUUGCAAGCAGGAUGUCAGCGGUUCGAGUCCGCUUACCUCCACUGAUUACCACCUCUUCCAUAAUGUUUAUAAAGGAAAGGUUUUGAGAUGUGAUCAAAUUCUGAACGAAUCUAGCUUCCUAAUGAAACCAUUAAGAUGCUGGACUCAUUGAAUUAAUUUUCAUUGUUUUCAGAGAACCUUGACAACUGCAUAGAUUAUUUUAAAGACAAUAAGCAUCUUUAAUGACGCAGAUUUAUUAUUUUUGCAAAAGCAUUAAUAACAAUUCUAUUAAGCUGAUGCUUCAAAUUUUGAAGUUAUUGGUCAAGCUACAA